UAAUUAUUAUUGAAUUACUAAAUUUUUUUUUUAUUUUAUUUUAUUUAUUAAAAAUAAUUAUAUAGUUUAAUGUUUUAGUAUAGUAUAUAGGAAAAAUAUUUAUAGUUAUAGUUUAUUAGUACUGUGAAGGAAUUUUGAAAUAUUUUGAAAUAAUUAAUAUUAAUUAAGAAAAUUUUAUUUAUUGUACCUUUUGUAUCAGGGUUAAUUAAAUAAUAAUUAGAUAUUUAAUGUUCUCGAUUUCAAAAGAGUUAAUAGAUUGUAAAAGUUAAUGUGGAAUAAUUAUUUUUAACAGUUUAUUGGAAAUGAAAAGUUAAUCGUUUUUGAAGGUAUCUAGUUUUUUAAGAUUUAAAUUUAAUUUAUUUAUAAUAGUUGAUUAAUAUUAUUUAUUUAAUAUUUAAUUAUUAUUAUGAAAAAAGUAAAGGGGAUAAGCUUUUUAUUUAUUUUAAAAAGAUAUUAAAAUUUUAAUAUAUUGUAGGCUUAGAAUUAGCUAACAAUAACAAUUAUGUUAUAAUUUAUUAUUAUUUUAUUAUUAUUUAAUAAUCUUUUAUUUAUUUAUUAAAAUUUUUUAUUUAAUUAGUUUUUAGAAUAAAAAAUGAUUAAAUUAGUAUAUUUAUUUGUAAUUUUAAUUAUUAUAUUUUAGAUUAUUUUAAUGAAUUUGGCAAAUAUUAUGUUCGCCUGUUUAUCAAAAACAUGUCUUUUUGUAAUUUAUAUAUAAAGUCUGACCUGCCCACUGAUAAAUUAUUAAAUGGCCGCAGUAUUUUAACUGUGCAAAGGUAGCGUAAUCAUUAGUCUUUUAAUUAAAGGCUUGAAUGAAUGGUUGGACGAGGCAUAUACUGUAUCAAAAUAAUAUAUAGAAUUUUAUUUUUUAGUUAAAAAGCUAAAAUAUUUAUGAAAGACGAGAAGACCCUAUAGAUCUUUAUAUUUUAAUUAAUUUUAAUUAUUUAGAUAAUUUAAGUUAAUAUUAAUUAAAUUAUUUUGUUGGGGUGACAUUAAGAUUUAUAUAACUCUUAAUUUAAUAUUACAUUGAUUUUUGAAUGAUUUAUUAAGUUUUGAUCCUAUAUUAUGGAUUAUAAAAUUAAGUUACCUUAGGGAUAACAGCGUAAUUUUCUUGGAAAGUUCUUAUUAAUAGGAAAGAUUGCGACCUCGAUGUUGGAUUAAGAUUAAUAUUGGGUGCAGAAGUUCAAUAUAUUAAGUCUGUUCGACUUUUAAUUUCUUACAUGAUCUGAGUUCAAACCGGCGUGAGCCAGGUUGGUUUCUAUCUUUAUUAAAUGUUAAUAUUUUAGUACGAAAGGACCAAAUAUUAAAAUUAUUAAUUUUAUUAAAUGAAUUUUAUUAAUUU
RNAcentral lists this ribosomal RNA (1339 nucleotides) under Villa sp. RNAcentral's name for it is "16S ribosomal RNA". Lineage: Eukaryota; Metazoa; Arthropoda; Insecta; Diptera; Bombyliidae. The record is from RNAcentral.